CGGCCGGGGCAUGCGAGCGGCGGCUGUGUGCGUGCGGGCGGUGCGUGCUGCGUUUGCGUCUGCGUCAGGACACGCGCCACGUGCGACAAAGGAACUGCACACCGUCCGGUACUAGCCACUCCGUGCUGCCAUCUGACAUUAAACAUACCGUAACACUCGUGUUUGUGUGAGAGGUUUGCCUCAAACGUCUCGUGUGAAAGUGACUUGACUGUGGCGGUGGAGAACUUUCGUCGAAGCGAGCCAGCUGUUUACCGCUUUUAUCAGUCCCAGACGGUUCGCUCGCUUCAGAAAUACACAUUACUGCCCCCUACACCUUUCAGGACGAGCUCCCCAACCUCUCGGUGAAGCUGUACUGAACUUCAAACGUGGCCAAUGUUGCUGGCGUCGCACUAGCCGCGCCGGCGCUCAGAGGCCGUCCAGCGCAGCAGGCGUGUUGCAGCGAGGCGAGGUCAGCCGCUCCAGCCGCCGUCGCCGCUACUUGUCGGUGGCGACCGCGGGCGCUGCGAUGUGGGCGAGGUAGCGGCGGCGGCCGCGACGCGCCGACAUGCGGG
Schistocerca serialis cubense is the source of this 551-nucleotide long non-coding RNA. RefSeq lists it as uncharacterized. The transcript is spliced from 3 exons. Lineage: Eukaryota; Metazoa; Arthropoda; Insecta; Orthoptera; Acrididae. The record is from RefSeq and is a predicted model, not a curated record.